AGAGUUUGAUCCUGGCUCAGGACGAACGCUGGCGGCGUGCUUAACACAUGCAAGUCGCGGGGGCGGAGCAAUCCGCCACCGGCGGACGGGUGCGUAACACGUGAGCAACCUGCCCCGAAGACUGGGAUAACACCGGGAAACCGGUGCUAAUACCGGAUAUCCCCAGACCCCCGCAUGAGGGACUGAGGAAAUGGAUUUCCGCUUCGGGAGGGGCUCGCGGCCUAUCAGCUUGUUGGUGAGGUAACGGCUCACCAAGGCUCCGACGGGUAGCUGGUCUGAGAGGACGAUCAGCCACACUGGGACUGAGACACGGCCCAGACUCCUACGGGAGGCAGCAGCGGGGAAUCUUGCGCAAUGGGCGAAAGCCUGACGCAGUAACGCCGCGUGGGGGAUGAAUGCCUUCGGGUUGUAAACCCCUUUCAGCAGGGACGAAAUUGACGGUACCUGCAGAAGAAGCCCCGGCCAACUACGUGCCAGCAGCCGCGGUAAUACGUAGGGGGCGAGCGUUGUCCGGAAUUAUUGGGCGUAAAGAGCUCGUAGGCGGUUUGGCAAGUCGGGUGUGAAAUCUCCGAGCUCAACUCGGAGAGGCCACUCGAGACUGCUAUGACUAGAGUCCGGUAGGGGACCAUGGAAUUCCUGGUGUAGCGGUGAAAUGCGCAGAUAUCAGGAGGAACACCGGUGGCGAAGGCGGGUCUCUGGGCAACAACUGACGCUGAGGAGCGAAAGCGUGGGGAGCGAACAGGAUUAGAUACCCCAGUAGUCC
This 763-nucleotide ribosomal RNA is filed under the name uncultured Acidimicrobiales bacterium. RNAcentral's name for it is "bacterial SSU rRNA". It matches the Rfam family "Bacterial small subunit ribosomal RNA", at positions 8 to 796 of the family's 1533-position model. Lineage: Bacteria; Bacillati; Actinomycetota; Acidimicrobiia; Acidimicrobiales. The record is from RNAcentral.